This is a long non-coding RNA of Ictalurus punctatus (channel catfish), 5467 nucleotides long. NCBI's taxonomy places the organism in Eukaryota, Metazoa, Chordata, Actinopteri, Siluriformes, Ictaluridae. The record is from Ensembl.
GUCAACUUGUUUCUAAAGUCAGCGUUAAUAACGUCAGAGCGGGGUGUGAAUUAGGCAGCGAUUAACAAAUGCAGCGCGACGCUGUGGGAUUCCAUGUUUGCAACUUCAUUUAUUUAUUUGUUUGCUUAUUUAUUCGGGAACCUGUCUUUGAUCGUAUUGUUGAGUGCCAAAGCUAUAUUUAAAGAAUGUGAGAUGAUGAUGAUGAUAAAUUAGAGAAUGUGAUGCUGUUUUGCUGUAUGCCACUACAAAUAAAAAAUGUUUUUAAAAAAAAGGACAAAACGGUUUUGCUCUUUUAUGAUUAUUUAUUUAUAUUAUUUGGGUUCAUAUUUCAAAUAUAUUUGCCUCUAAAAUAGUUCAGUACAUGACAGAGAAUAUACAACGGCCAGCACGACAAGCUUUCCUUGCACUUGUGCACCGGUACAUCUGAAGAAAGAAAAAAAAAAAAAAAGACAAUAACAAAAAGAAAAUAACAUUCUCACUCAGGCUCUUACAUACACUCUGACGAAUUCAAUAUAAGGACAUAUGGUACAACCAUGAUUGCUUCAUCUUCAUGUGUGUCAGGAACCGUGAAGUUUCACCACAGGAUUCCACCGGGUUUUUUCUUUCUAUUUUUUUCUUCUUUAAUGGAUGACGCAACGGACAAGGUCGUGAUCAGACGGUGUUUUUCAGCACUCAAGGUACAAAAAUGAACGGACGUGAAUGUUCUGACAAAGGACGACCUUGGUACGUUAAUUUAAAACGUGUUUUAGCAUGUUUCGCUAAUUCAUGACAAACUGUGGCUUUUUUUUUCCUUUCAGGGUUUCUACACCAGGACACGAUGAACGGAAGAGAAUGAAACGGAUACGGCAUACUCCUGAAGCGGUAACGUUGUGUUUCGAAUACACACUCACUGUCCACUUUAUUAAGAACAUUUGCACGUUCGUGCGAUCAUCACCACCACGUUUCAGCAGUGCAGUGCGCAAAAUCGUCCCGAUAACAGAUCAUGAGCGUCACUUGAUGUUCACGUGACCUUGAUCGUGACCUGCUGCUUCGUGUAUUUCAGAUACUGCUAAUUUUUUAUGGGUGGAAAUGCCUUGUUGAUAGGAAAGCUCAGAGGAGAACGGCCGGACUUGUUCGAGCUGACGGGAAGGCUACGGUAACUCAAAUAACCACUCUUUACAAACGUGUUGAGCAGAAAAGCAUCCUAACCUGUCAAAAAUUGCAGCAGGUGAGCUACACUAGCAAAAGACCAAAUCGGGUUCCACCCCAGUCAGCUAAAAACAGGACUCUAAGACUACACUGGGCAUCCAGUCUAGAAGAACGUGGGGAAAAAAGUACCACGCAACGUUUGAUCCGAAUAUUAACUGAAACUCGACGCGAUAUCUGCAUGAUUUUAUGCAUCGCACUGCUGUGACGUAAUCGCCUGAUGUACGGCCAAUACGUCCAAGCGCUCCUAAUAUAGCGGACGGUGACUGUAUUACGCGUACGUCUGUCGUUCAGUGUGUUCACAAAGUAACGUACGCCGACGUCUUUUCAACACGUAGAACAUUAAAUCUGCACAUGCUCACAACAGUCCCGAUGCCAAGACGCAGGUCUGCAACACUGCAUAUGUCUGUUUAAUAACCUAACUAACUCAACAUUGCAGUCAGUACGUGGAUCAUAAGAAGAAACAGCUCGGAAGUAGAAGCCGUAAAGCCACCGAGUCACCUGAAGGAAGUUUGUCAGUGCUGAUUUUCUGAGUUCUCUGGAGGGGGCACAUAUUUAAGGUCGUUUUCUGGUUGCGCGCAUGCAUUUCUGUUCAUCGUCCGACCCAAACUCGUUCUCCGUAGUUCAUCUAAAGGCCAUUCGGGGCAAAUGAGCGCGCAUUUAUCUGAGCCCCAUUUACUCAUUUAACUCCAAGCAAUGAAAUUGACCUCCCGUAACGACGAGACACAUUCUAACGGGAGGGGAAGAAACACCGUGCGAACCAGAAGUGGAGAAAAAGAGAGAGAAAAGUGCCAUUAGCUAUGAACCAAGGACAAGACAUACACUCUCCAACCCACUUAGGCAAAUCUUUACAAUUGUGCGUAACGAUCAUUUCCAUCCCUACUAUUGAAACGCGCCAGUCUCGUAGUUAACCCGUCUCUACAUUUCUUUCUCACACAUGCACACGCCGUGGCAGGUGACGUUGACCUUCGCGUGACAUGCAAUCCUCGCACAUGCACACGGUCUCUCAGUCGCAGCAUGGUGAUAUUGAUAUUAAUAAACCGAUUUGAGCGGAACGUCGACGGGAAUAACGGAUCAAAAAAGGAUUCGUGAAUGUAUCCCUUCACCUUAAAACGCGUUAUAUGUGCAAUCUGAACUCUCUGUGCUAGCCUAAUAUCUACUGAGGUACAUGAAAUGUCUAGAUGAUGCUUGGUAUAGACUUCACGUGAAGCAAUUGAUAUUUGGAAUGCAUGUAAAAUGAGGCAACAUUGAGAAAAAUAUACGAGUAAACGAGUAAGCAGUAUAAUGACCCUUAGCACGGUGGGUCAAGGGGGUGGAGCUGAAAGGGAACAGGCAUGUCAUGGAAACAUUCAUUUUUCCAAAAUUUUCCACUGCACCAAUGCGGCGCGCACACACAAAAAAAACAAAAAAAAACCAAGCAAUGUAGUUUCUGUUUUUUGUUCACAGAUAACUUUUCAUUUAGUACAAACAUUUCAAGUUGAAUUUCUGUAUUAACUAGAUAUUAGUUAUGCAGGCAAUAAUGAACUCUGUUUUUUUUUCCUCCCCCCCAUUGGCUUGAUACACAAUGCUGACAUGUGACAAGAACGCUAUCCAAGUUUAUUUAAGGGGAAAACGUGUCCGAAAUUGGCUUCUUGGCUUCAUAAAUGUAAAGAUAGAUCUUUAAAUUAUUACAUAAUUACAUUAACAGUUCAAUUUUGGGCUGCUACAUAAUUGUUAUCGUUACUUCUAGCUACUGUGAAAAUCAAACCAGUACACUGGCUCAACAUACUAACCCGACCUCACUGCGUUCAAGCAACCCAUGCUGGGUUUGUCCAUAUUGGACCCAGCACUGGGUUUCCAAAUCAACCCAUUUAAAAAUAAUAAUAAUAAUAAUACAAAUUUUAUUUUAAAGAGUAAAUAAUUAAUAUUCCCUUUCCAUCGUUUCCUUUUUCGAGUCUAAUUAUUCUGUUCUGGAAGCAUUUUAUUUAUGAUGAUAAAUGGCUGGUCAAGCCAAGUGCACGUGUUAGCAUGAAUGGUAACACACAGGCCUAAAAACUAUGUAACGUACAGGUACAGUCGACUGGACCAGAAGCGAAAGAGAAAUCUAAAAGGCUCUGCUCUUGGUACGUACUUUUUAAAUAAAAUUAAAAAUUAAAAAAAGACCUGAGAUGCAAGUCAACACCUUUACCGGAAUGUAGCAGAUCUGAGCGAUAUAGCAUCUUAAGAUAAAUAUGCACUGGUUAAAUAUGAAUGUGAGCAAAUUUUACAAGCAGGGCUCAAGAAUGAGGCAAACCACGACGUGACUUCAGAAAACUAAUCUCACACUAAAAGCUCAGUGAUUAGACAUUGCAUAUUGAACAUAUAAUAUGGCAGAGCAUAUGAGCAUGAAUAAUACCGGGUCAAAACCAAAUUUAUAUAUGAUUGUUUCAUAGCAUCUAAAAUGUUAUGAUGACCAGGUCGCCUAUAAUGUGUAUACUCUGACAGAGGCACACAUGGUUUCUUCCAUUAUCUGUGUGAUUCUCAUAUUUAUAUAUAUUUAUAUACGCUUGUGCUCCUUAAUAAAAGUCCACAAAAUCGGUCAUUCAUGGUCAUUUGUAGUAAUGAGUAAAUUGUGAGUAAAUGCCAUUCACAGAAGAGGACCUAAUUGAGAACCCUGAUGCACUCUCUGGGACCUUAGUCAAACGGUUCACAGUAAAAGUCGACUCUUCGAAAUGUACGAGUUGUCGGGAUAAGCGUAUGAUGCAUCUUGCUCGAAGCGUCGACUGUGAUGAUGGCACAUCUCACUAAAUAUGUGCUCAGCUUUGAAGAAUCAUUAUUAUGCUGUAUUGCUUCGUGUGAAAUGUGGAUGUCCGUUAUUUCUCGAUGAGCAGUCCAUUGAAAGAUGGUUUGCUUUGUGCCAAAACUAGAUGUCUCCUUGCUUGCUGGCAGCACGGUCCUGUUCCUCUUUCGAACGUCCAAGUCGGAACACGGCACUCGUUCGGAUGCACCUGCACUAUACAAAUCCUCUUCAGCAACUCGGCUUUUUCGCUAAAGGAUCAUCAGAAACGUGGGUGGAGCAUGCAGACCUUCUGGGAAGCCCGUCUUUGGAGUCCUUAUGGACCUCGUGCUCCUGCACUUGGGGAAAUCAGUCAGUCCUGAUGUCCGUUAGUGCGUCGCCGGUGAGCGCCGAUCGGCACACAGUUCAACAUGCGGUUUAACGUAUAGAUAAUACGGGUUGCCGUCGUGUCGGAGGAUGGUGGGGCGAGGGUAGACGUGUCCGAUAUAGGACUACCCUUUGACGUAAAGUUCAGCCACCAUUCUGUUCAGCAGCAAGGCAGGAAACGUCAUUUAUUGUAAGGGACAAGGCAUACAGCAAAUUUGUAGAUGGACAAAAAUACCACACGGGGAAACGAAAGUGAUUUAAAAAAAAAAAAAAAAAAAAAAAAAAAAAAAAAAGCAUAUAAAUUUGUGCUUCUUUAGUUUAACUUGAUCAUACUCUGAGUCAUGAUUAGUCUCAGAACUCGCAAUUAUUAUCCAUGUGUUGAUACUUAGGUAAUAUAUCAUAUACAUGUAACUGUACAGGUUCUCUUCCAUUCAUCCAAAUGGACAGCAUUUCAUUUGGCUGUCCUCAUUUUUCACCCUACAUUCUGCUGAUCCGUCCCGAGAAUUCACGUUUCUGUGCAGGACAGUCUUAAGGGAUGAGUGACACGUCGCUUUAAAGAGCAUUUCAGCCCGUGUUUGCCCCAACCUUCGCUUCAUCUGAAGAACCGCCAUCAUCUUUGGUAGCAUAAUUGACACUUUGGUGUGUCAGCAACACAGAGAGGGUGGAGAGGGAGGGUAGUCGGGGAUAAAUAAUAAAACAUACAUACAUACUGAUGCGGUGCAAAUAUAAAGAAUAUCAUGAACGUGGAUUCGACUAGUCAUAGCGAAAAGGUAUGGAGGUAUGGCAAGCCAUCGAGUUGAAUCAUGGUGUUCAAGUCAGAGACGGAAACAGAGAGCAGGUCUAGGGAGACGACGGCAAGCGCAAGGUCAGCGCAAGGUCAAGCCGAGCAUGGAGAAACGUGACCAGGAAAUGCAAGGAAAGUAAUGUGAAUGAUGGAAAAAUUAAAAGAAAAAAAAAAAAGACAGGAGAGGAGGGAGAAGGUAGGAAGGAACAUAUCUGGGCAGUGUUGGUUGAUGCCACAGGGGGGGCGGUGGGUGCGAGGGUAUGAACAGAUGUAUCAUCCAUCAUCUUGAGAAUAGCAGGACGUAGAGGCACAUGGAGCUAACGAGCAGCUCGGUCAGUGUAGCAGGCUGAAGGCGUCGGGCUGUUCCUGGAAGCACG